RNAcentral lists this ribosomal RNA (497 nucleotides) under uncultured bacterium. RNAcentral's name for it is "partial 16S ribosomal RNA". It matches the Rfam family "Bacterial small subunit ribosomal RNA", at positions 28 to 507 of the family's 1533-position model. The record is from RNAcentral.
GAUGAACGCUGGCGGCGUGCCUAAUACAUGCAAGUCGAGCGAACAGACGAGGAGCUUGCUCCUCUGACGUUAGCGGCGGACGGGUGAGUAACACGUGGAUAACCUACCUAUAAGACUGGGAUAACUUCGGGAAACCGGAGCUAAUACCGGAUAAUAUAUUGAACCGCAUGAUUCAAUAGUGAAAGACGGUUUUGCUGUCACUUAUAGAUGGAUCCGCGCCGCAUUAGCUAGUUGGUAAGGUAACGGCUUACCAAGGCAACGAUGCGUAGCCGACCUGAGAGGAUGAUCGGCCACACUGGAACUGAGACACGGUCCAGACUCCUACGGGAAGCAGCAGUAGGGAAUCUUCCGCAAUGGGCGAAAGCCUGACGGAGCAACGCCGCGUGAGUGAUGAAGGUCUUCGGAUCGUAAAACUCUGUUAUUAGGGAAGAACAAAUGUGUAAGUAACUAUGCACGUCUUGACGGUACCUAAUCAGAAAGCCACGGCUAACUACGUG